AACGAACGCUGGCGGCAGGCCUAACACAUGCAAGUCGAACGACAGCAUCGGGAGAGGUUGCGCAUGCGGGUGGAGAGCGGCGGAACCGUGAGGAAUACUCGGGAAUCUUCCCCUUAGUGGGGGCUAAUGCCGGAAAAUGUACUCUAAUCCAAGAUUCUACGCCUUUGGAUGGGCCGGCGUUGUUUUAGCUUGUUGGUAGGGUAAAAGCCUACCAAGGAUUCGAUCCUUAGCUGGGUUGAGAGGCUGAUCAGCCACACUGGGACUGGGACACGGCCCAGACUCCUACGGGAGGCAGCAGUGGGGAAUAUUGGACAAUGGGCGAAAGCCUGAUCCAGCAAUGCCGCGUGAGUGAUGAAGGCCUUAGGGUUGUAAAGCUCUUUUACCCGGGAUGAUAAUGACAGUACCGGGAGAAUAAGCUCCGGCUAACUCCGUG
RNAcentral lists this ribosomal RNA (433 nucleotides) under uncultured bacterium. RNAcentral describes it as "partial 16S ribosomal RNA". It matches the Rfam family "Bacterial small subunit ribosomal RNA", at positions 29 to 507 of the family's 1533-position model. The record is from RNAcentral.